GAUGAACGCUAGCUACAGGCUUAACACAUGCAAGUCGAGGGGAAACGACACCGAAAGCUUGCUUUUGAUGGGCGUCGACCGGCGCACGGGUGAGUAACGCGUAUCCAACCUGCCCACCACUUGGGGAUAACCUUGCGAAAGUAAGACUAAUACCCAAUGAUAUCUCUAGAAGACAUCUGAAAGAGAUUAAAGAUUUAUCGGUGAUGGAUGGGGAUGCGUCUGAUUAGCUUGUUGGCGGGGUGACGGCCCACCAAGGCUACGAUCAGUAGGGGUUCUGCGAGGAACGUCCCCCACAUUGGAACUGAGACACGGUCCAAAGUCCUACGGGAGGCAGCAGUGAGGAAUGUUGGUCAAUGUGCGAGAGCCUGAACCAGCCAAGUAGCGUGCAGGAUGACGGCCCUAUGGGUUGUAAACUGCUUUUAUAAGGGAAUAAAGUGAGCCUCGUGAGGCUUUUUGCAUGUACCUUAUGAAUAAGGACCGGCUAAUUCCGUGCCAGCCGCCGCCGUAA
RNAcentral lists this ribosomal RNA (508 nucleotides) under uncultured bacterium. RNAcentral describes it as "partial 16S ribosomal RNA". It matches the Rfam family "Bacterial small subunit ribosomal RNA", at positions 28 to 523 of the family's 1533-position model. The record is from RNAcentral.